Molecule: transfer RNA, 77 nt
Filed under: Acidimicrobiia bacterium
Lineage: Bacteria; Bacillati; Actinomycetota; Acidimicrobiia
Description: tRNA-Thr
Rfam family: tRNA
About the family: Transfer RNA (tRNA) molecules are approximately 80 nucleotides in length. Their secondary structure includes four short double-helical elements and three loops (D, anti-codon, and T loops).
Source: RNAcentral
GCCGGGAUAGCUCAGUCUGGUAGAGCAGCUCACUCGUAAUGAGCAGGCCAGGGGUUCGAGUCCCCUUCCCGGCUCCA